UUUUUACUUUUUUCUAAAUUCAUCAAAUUUGCAGUGCUACUUUAUGUUAAAGAGACGGAUAUAUUUUAAAGAAUUUUAGCUCAAACAAUUUUGACACACAUUCAGGACUACUCAUAUCUACAUUUUUCUUAGCAGGUAAAGAGCGUUAGCGAGCAACUUAUUCGAAUUGAUAUUGUUAAUUUCAAUAAUUCAAUGAAAGGUGCACUUAAAUUUAACUCCAUAAACAGAUGGCAACAAUGAAACAUGGCGGAUAUUGAAGAUGACAAGUUAGCAGAAUUGGCUCGAACACGUGGACUAAAGCUAAUUUGGUUGUCUAAAAACAAAGAGCGGAAACAAGCGAAUUCCUUAUUAGAAGAAGAAGUAGACUUAAAUUUUAAAGAUGAGGUAAUUGCAUAUUAAACAUUUCAUAAAAACUU
Molecule: long non-coding RNA, 416 nt
Organism: Mytilus californianus (California mussel)
Lineage: Eukaryota; Metazoa; Mollusca; Bivalvia; Mytilida; Mytilidae
Exons: 2
Source: RefSeq, a predicted model, not a curated record